RNAcentral lists this long non-coding RNA (639 nucleotides) under Ananas comosus (pineapple). RNAcentral's name for it is "long non-coding RNA (ACOM_LNC023766)". Lineage: Eukaryota; Viridiplantae; Streptophyta; Magnoliopsida; Poales; Bromeliaceae. The record is from RNAcentral.
UAAUCAAAUGUCUAAAAUUGAUAAUAUAUUUAACAUUCGAGUUAAUAAAUUAUCCAUAUUUAUAUUAAAACCUUUCAAGCAACAAAAACAAACUCCUAAUUAAUUUUAAAUCACACAAAAAAGUAAAAAUAUACAAAAUUUACAUGAACUAUGGACAAUUUUGAGUUGGCUGCUUGCCUAAUCUUUCAAAUUUUUGAUUUUACCAUCCAACUUGUCUACUUGUUCGAUUUGAAUUAGUCAAUAACAUUUUGAUUUUAAAUUUGAAUGUCUUAUUUAACUUUAUAAGUUUAGUAUAUUUCAUGCAAUUCUCACAAUUAUAAAUUUAUUAAAGUAAGGAAUUAAUUAGCUUAAAUUUUGAAUUUAGAAUAUUGUUGACCGACUCAAAUCAAACAAAUUAAAAAAUUGGAUAGUAAAACCAAAAUUUUGAAAAAUUUAAUAGCCAACUCAAAAUAGUUUAUAGUUCAAUAAAUUCUGCAUGUUUUUACCAAAAAAAGAAAAAAAAAAAGCCUAUAAGGUAUCAUUAAUGUUUAUCUUAUUUCGACAUCAAAACAUGGCCUAGUUUCUUAACUUUGCAUAUAUUAUAUUUAAUUUUGGCACCAUCAAAAAAUCAAGUUAUCUUAUAUUGUGUCCAUUGCAUCC